Long non-coding RNA from Mytilus californianus (California mussel), 2203 nucleotides. RefSeq lists it as uncharacterized. NCBI's taxonomy places the organism in Eukaryota, Metazoa, Mollusca, Bivalvia, Mytilida, Mytilidae. The transcript has 3 exons. The record is from RefSeq and is a predicted model, not a curated record.
CACAAUUUCUUUUUAUCCCCCCCCCUUUUUCCCCAAAAAAAUUCUUUCCCUCAAGAUAUGGUCAUAAUCUCAAUUCAAAUUUCCAAUGGAGUUGGCAACCAUAAUUACCCAUUUAAAUUUACCAUAGUGCUAACUUAAUCUAUUUUAAAAUAGAAUUAAAAAUAUAGUGUCAAAUCUUUCAUAUGGAUUUUUUUGUAAAAAAAAAAGAUGCAACAUUUGCAGAUAUUUUUACUGGUCUUCCUUUAUAAAUAUGCAUUUCUUUAAACAUAAUUUAAAAGCAGUGUAAGGGAAGUAACCAAAACGUUGUAUUUGGAUUACCUCCCUUACACUGUUUUAAAUUAUCUUUAUUGUUCAUUAACCAUUACUUUAUACAUAAUUUAAAAGCAGUGUAAGGGAGAUAAUUUCAAUGAUGAAUUUGAUUUAUCUCCCUUACACUGCUUUAAAUUAUGUUUUGUACUAAAGUAUUUGUCCAUUAACCAGGACAACCUUGUUUUUCCCCCCUUUUUGCCCCUAAUUCCUAAACGGUUUGAGCCAUAAAGCCCCAAAGCAAAUCCAAACCAUCCCUUUGUGGUAUGGAAACUUGUAGUAUAAUUUCAGAGAGAUCCAUACACCGUUCCACAGUUAUUGUCUGGAAACUAGAAAAUGAUUAUUUUUGGCCCCUUUUUCCUUAACUGUUGGUACCAUAACCCCCAAAAUCAAUCCCAACCUUCCUUUUGUGGUAUUUAACCUUAUAGUCAAAUUUCAAAAAGAUCCAUUCACUUAAACUAAAGUUAGAGUGCGAAAACCAAUGUGUCUUCGGACGACGACGACGACGACGACGACGACGACGACGCCAACGUCAUACCAAUAUACGACCACAAAAUUUUUUUGCGGUCGUAUAAAAACUUAACUAUAACCACUGAACCAUGAAAAUGAGGUCAAGGUCAGAUGACACCUGCCAGUUGGACAUGUACACCUUACAGUCCUUCCAUACACCGAAUAUACUAGACCUAUUGCUUAGCCUUGUUCACUGAUCCAUGAAAUGAGGUCGAGGUCAAGUGAAAACUGUCUGACGGGCAUGAGGACCUUGCAAGGUACGCACAUACCAAAUAUAGUUAUCCUAUUACUUAUAAUAAGAGAAAAUUUAACAUUACAAAAAAUCUUAACUUUUUUUCCAAGUAGUCACUGAACCAUGAAAAUGAGGUCAAGGACAUUGGACAUGUGACUGACGGAAACUUCGUAACAUGAGGCAUCCAUAUACAAAGUAUGAAGCAUCCAGAUCUUCUACCUUCUAAAAUAUAAAGCUUUUAAGAAGUUAGCUAACGCCGACGCCGCCGGAUCACUAUCCCUAUGUCGAGCUUUCUGCGACAAAAGUCGCAGGCUCGACAAAAACUGUAAUUGUGAAAUUGACAAAAUGAGACUAGGGGGGGUAGGGCACUUAAAGAAAAUUUUGGACCAUUUUAAAGAGAUUGUGACGGACAACGACUAUAUAGGUGUUGUAGAGGAGACAUUGGCGCAUCGUUUAAGAAAAUCUCUAGAGUGGUUUAUGUUCGAAAAUCUGAAGUUAUGAUAAAAAACUGUAAUUGUGAAAUUGACAAAAUGAGACUAGGGGGGGUAGGGCACUAAAAGAAAAUUUUGGACCAUUUUAAAGAGAUUGUGACGGACAACGAAUAUAUAGGUGUUGUAAAGCAGACAGUAGCGCAUCGUUUAAGAAAAUCUGCAGAGUGGUUUAUGUUCGAAAAUCUGAAGUUACGGUUAAAAAACUGAAAUUGUGAAAUUGAAAAAAUAAGAUUAGGUGGGUAGGCCAAUUUAAGUUAAUUUUGGACCAAUUUAAAGAGAUUGUGACGGGCAACGACUAUAUAGGUGUUGUAGAGGAGACAUUGGCGCAUCGUUUAAGAAAAUCUGCAGAUUGGUUUAUUUUCGAAAAUCUGAAGCUACGGUUAAAAAACUGAAAUUGUGAAAUUGACAAAAUGAGAUUAGGGGGUAGGACAAUUUUAAAUAAUUUUAUACCAAUUUAAAAAGAUUGUGACGGACAACGACUAUAUAGGUGUUGUAGAGGAGACAUUGGCGCAUCGUUUAACAAAAUCUCCAGAGUGAUUUAUGUUCGAAAAUCUGAAGUUACGGUUAAAAAACUGAAAUUGUGAAAUUGACAAAAUGAGACUAGGGGGUAGGGCACUAAAAGAAAAUUUUGGACCAUUUUAAAAAGAUUGUGACGGACAAUGAC